AACGAACGCUGGCGGCGUGCCUAACACAUGCAAGUCGAGCGGUAGAGAGAAGCUUGCUUCUCUUGAGAGCGGCGGACGGGUGAGUAAUGCCUAGGAAUCUGCCUGGUAGUGGGGGAUAACGUUCGGAAACGGACGCUAAUACCGCAUACGUCCUACGGGAGAAAGCAGGGGACCUUCGGGCCUUGCGCUAUCAGAUGAGCCUAGGUCGGAUUAGCUAGUUGGUGAGGUAAUGGCUCACCAAGGCGACGAUCCGUAACUGGUCUGAGAGGAUGAUCAGUCACACUGGAACUGAGACACGGUCCAGACUCCUACGGGUGGCAG
Molecule: ribosomal RNA, 321 nt
Filed under: uncultured Pseudomonadota bacterium
Lineage: Bacteria; Pseudomonadati; Pseudomonadota
Description: bacterial SSU rRNA
Rfam family: Bacterial small subunit ribosomal RNA
Source: RNAcentral